AUACGGUGAAACUGCGAAUGGCUCAUUAAAUCAGUUAUCGUUUAUUUGAUAGUACCUUACUACAUGGGAUAACCGUGGUAAUUCUAGAGCUAAUACAUGCUAAAAACCUCGACUUCGGAAGGGGUGUAUUUAUUAGAUAAAAAACCAAUGCCCUUCGGGGCUCCUUGGUGAUUCAUAAUAACUUCUCGAAUCGCAUGGCCUUGUGCCGGCGAUGGUUCAUUCAAAUUUCUGCCCUAUCAACUUUUGAUGGUAAUUUAGUGGAUUACCAUGGUUUCUACGGGUAACGGGGGAUUAGGGUUCUAUUCCGGAGAGGGAGCCUGAGAAACGGCUACCACAUCCAAGGAAGGCAGCAGGCGCGCAAAUUACCCAAUCCCGAUACGGGGAGGUAGUGACAAUAAAUACUGAUACAGGGCUCUUUUGGGUCUUGUAAUUGGAAUGAGUACAAUUUAAAUCCCUUAACGAGGAGCAAUUGGAGGGCAAGUCUGGUGCCAGCAGCCGCGGUAAUUCCAGCUCCAAUAGCGUAUAUUAAAGUUGUUGCAGUUAAAAAGCUCGUAGUUGAAACUUGGGUCUGGCUGUCCGGUCCGCCUCACCGCGUGCACUGGUUCGGCCGGACCUUUCCUUCUGGGGAGCCGCAUGCCCUUCAUUGGGUGUGCCGGGGAACCAGGACUUUUACUUUGAAAAAAUUAGAGUGUUCAAAGCAGGCAUAUGCUCGAAUACAUUAGCAUGGAAUAAUAGAAUAGGACGUGUGGUUCUAUUUUGUUGGUUUCUAGGACCGCCGUAAUGAUUAAUAGGGAUAGUCGGGGACGUCUGUAUUCUUUAGUCAGAGGUGAAAUUCUUGGAUUUAUUGAAGACAAACUACUGCGAAAGCAUUCGUCAAGGAUGUUUUCAUUAAUCAGUGAACGAAAGUUAGGGGAUCGAAGACGAUCACCAUGUAUUUGGUCGUCUAUAGCAGACUAGUCGGAGCUUCUGCUCCGGCCACACCGACUAACUGUUGGGGCCGCCCCAGGUUUUUAAGUAAUCUGUGGCCGACCCACAGCCAAGCUCUCCGGAGCGCAGUCUACAGACUGAAUGUUGGUGGGCGAAUCGUGCCAGAUUCGUCUCUAAUAUAGCCGAGUUUCAUCGAUAACUCGAUGAAAAUCACGCAGAUACCGUCGUAGUCUUAACCGUAAACUAUGCCGACUAGAGAUCGGACGGUGUUAUUAUUUUGACCCGUUCGGCAUCUUUACGAGAAAUCAAAGUUUUUGGGUUCUGGGGGGAGUAUGGUCGCAAGGCUGAAACUUAAAGACAUUGACGGAAGGGCACCACCAGGCGUUAAACAUUGCAUACCAAGCUCUGCGCCAUCGAAGUGUCGUCUGCUUACCCAGGCGAUCCGUGACAUGUCCUAGCUGUAGUCAGCUGAAUACUUUUUAGUUCCGUUUAGUCGGGGGCUACAUACUCAUCGUGCGGGUAAAUUCCCAGACCCCGAACACCUCCGCCUGCCGAAAGGCUUGCGCAUGGUAACAGCUUCGGCAGUCACAAGGUUCCAUCCGCAGCCAGUGUUCUAAGGUCCUCAGGCUAUGACAUUUGGUUCAGAGAUUAGACGAGUAUGGGUACUAACAUCGUCGAGAAAUAUCAAAGUAUACGGUUCCACAAGUCCGAGAUGUGGUCGCAGAGAGUGCUCUUCUGUCCCGCAUCCGAGGUAGUUUAGCUCAGCCAAUAUGGAUAAAGGUGGAUCGAACUUAGCUUCGCCCGCGAGGGACCACUAGUCCCCAGCACCACGAAGAGGUGUGGAUCCAUUGCUUAGGGCGGUAGGAGCCUCCACCCGCUGCCGGGAGACACGAGCUCCUGCCCAGCAUGUUACACUUCCUACCCGGAAAGCCACUUGCGUCACCCAGCUCGUCACACUUGCUACCCGGGACGCUUCGGACGUAAAGUGGAAAAUAUAGAAUAAAUCUUUGAUUCGGCGUACUUAAGCUAUAAUCCGUCCCACAGUGUCAACUGUGAAGGAUGNAUAACGGGAGCCUGCGGCUUAAUUUGACUCAACACGGGGAACUCACCAGGUCCAGAUUUGAUAAGGAUUGACAGAUUGAGAGCUCUUUCUUGAUUUCAAAGGUGGUGGUGCAUGGCCGUUCUUAGUUGGUGGAGUGAUUUGUCUGCUUAAUUGCGAUAACGAACGAGACCUUAACCUGCUAAAUAGCCAGGUCAGCUUUGGCUGGCCGCCGGCUUCUUAGAGGGACUAUCGGCUCAAGCCGAUGGAAGUUUGAGGCAAUAACAGGUUAACCCUUCUCACAGGCCUGUUGAAGCCCGUAUCCGUUAGGGUAUGGCGGUCGUGUUUAGCACGGCUUUACAUCACUGGUAUCGAGAAUAUCCGCUUAGGAUUGAUUCGAUGGCGAGUCACAGACCGCCCAAACGCAUGCAAAGUGAUGGGCUCUCUCGGGAGAGAGUUUCAGGUACAUGCUGACCCUCCAGGCCAUGGAGUAGCUCGAUCCCCAUUUUCCGAUUGGGAUCGAUGCGCGGAUAAACGCUGUGAUGCCCUUAGAUGUUCUGGGCCGCACGCGCGCUACACUGACAGAGACAACGAGUUCAUCACCUUGGCCGGAAGGUCUGGGUAAUCUUGUUAAACUCUGUCGUGCUGGGGAUAGAGCAUUGCAAUUAUUGCUCUUCAACGAGGAAUGCCUAGUAAGCGCAAGUCAUCAGCUUGCGUUGAUUACGUCCCUGCCCUUUGUACACACCGCCCGUCGCUACUACCGAUUGAAUGGCUCAGUGAGGCCUUCGGACUGGCCCCAGGAGGACGGCAACGCCCACCCAGGGCCGGAAAGUUGGUCAAACUUGGUCAUUUAGAGGAAGUAAAAGUCGUAACAAGGUUUCCGUAGGUGAACGGUUUGCCUGCCGAAAUCUUCCGCAUCGACUAUAAAUUUAUGCGUGGUUUGCAUCCUGGAUGCGAGCAACACCGAUUAAUUGCUGAGAGGGUUCCGGGCAUUCAGUCCUUAUCCGACCGGCAGCCAGUUUCACAUCUGGUUCACAGAUCAACCAUCGGUGGCCUCUCGGCUAAAAUAUGACCGGUCCUCGGCUUUCGGCCGUGGGAUUUGCGGAACCUGCGGAAGGAUCAUUA
Molecule: ribosomal RNA, 3091 nt
Filed under: Tornabea scutellifera
Lineage: Eukaryota; Fungi; Ascomycota; Lecanoromycetes; Caliciales; Physciaceae
Description: SSU rRNA
Rfam family: Eukaryotic small subunit ribosomal RNA (bases 1-1374)
Source: RNAcentral